AGGAGCUGAAGCGGCGGGGUCUCUGGCAUGAGUAGUCGACAUCAGGUUGGGCGUAGCUAAGGUAGCUGCAUCUGGGCGCGGCAUUGCGAUGGAUUCAGCGCAAGGGAUGUUGCGCCUAGCCGUGAGUAUUGCAUUGCGCUGAGCUAGCAUCUUUUGUUUCUCCUUGGGUGGUAUGUUCUGCACACGUGCUCUUCGGCGGGCGUUUGUCUCCUGCUUCUCCUCGUCUGUCAUAUUUUGGUAUGCCACCCUUCUGCAGUAAUUCCUCUCUUGAUUCUCCUCGACCGGCAUAUUUUGGUAGGACGCCCUUCUGCAGCUGUUUCUCUCUUGCUUGUCCUCGACCAUCAUAUUUUGGUAGGCCGCCCUUCUAAGGGUGUUACUUUGUUGCUUCUCCUCUGCUGUCAUCCGUUGCCUGGCUUCUCUCUGACGGGCAUUCCUCUCCUCGUCUGUUUUCUUCUUCCUAGCUGCUCUGCGGUGUGCAUUGAUUUUCUCCUUCUCUUCAGGUGUUAGUCUAUCCCGCCGUGCUCUGUAUUGUUCUCGCCUUUUCUGUUUUUUGUCAGAUGUAAUGAUUGCAUUUGAAGCAAUGUGUUCAAGACCAGUGUGUGAGGUGUUGAGUCCAACCGCUAUAUCUGAGCCAAUAUUAUGCUCGAUGCUGCUUUGUGUUCCUUGAAGUGAUACACGGUGAUCAUAGAUAACUCAGUCGAGAACUUUAAAAGAGCAAACAAGAUUCUGGCUUCGGAGUCUGAGCCGGUUCAAAUAUGGGAUUUCUCUGCGCGAACAACCUUCAUAUGGAUGAAUGAAUGGAACCGUAUGCCCCAAGAUCCUCGGUCUAAGAUCCUCGGCCUUCUGACCAGGAGGUGAGGAUGGUGGCAGGAGGAUGUACCUGCGGCGUGAGGAGAUGGGUGCAGGAACAGCCGGCGCGCGGAGGUGGCUGGUUCCGACGGCCUCAGGUGAGGAUGGUGGCAGGAGGAUGUACCUGCGGCGUGAGGAGAUGGGUGCAGGAACAGACGGCCUUGGUGAGCAACACCAUGAGAGGAGAUGGGUGCAGGAACAGACGGCCUUGGUGAGCAACACCAUGAGACGGGAGCAGAGGUUGCUGGUUCCGGCGUGGCCGGACUGGUUCCGUUCCGGCGGAUGUGGCCGGAGGGCGAGUAUGGGUCCAGCGAGAGGAAAAACUGGCGUUCCUGGUGACGUGCGAUGACGGCUCGAUGGAGCUUCCGCACUUGUUUCUUUGUUUGGUUUGGCUGGGACGUGUCUUUUUUUUGGUUUGUUUUUUUGGUCAAUGCAUGGAGUACUGUUGUUUUUCUUUGGCCGGUGCGUGAUCGUGGUACUGUUGUUUUUCUUUGGCCGGUGCGUGAUCGUGGAUUGAGUCGUAACUGUUGUUUUUCUUUGGCCGGUGCGUGAUCGUGGGCUGAGUUGGUGGAGAUGUA
RNA transcript from Triticum aestivum (bread wheat), 1427 nucleotides. RefSeq lists it as uncharacterized. The transcript is spliced from 4 exons. Lineage: Eukaryota; Viridiplantae; Streptophyta; Magnoliopsida; Poales; Poaceae. The record is from RefSeq and is a predicted model, not a curated record.